AAAACGACUAUGAUGGAGAAGAGUACCGUAAUCAAGAGGUAACAGAGAGAAGCUGCCAUCGGCUGUAAGCAGCUUUUACUUUCGGGGAACGGGAAGUGCACUCCGGAGUCUGCAGGGAGAACGAAGAAGCAGCUUCUGAUAUCCGGGCACGUCUGGUCACGUUAUCGACUGUAAGGGAAAGACAUUAUUGUCUUUAAGUAGAGUGGAACCGCGGAAUAUUUCGUCUCUGUA
This 231-nucleotide non-coding RNA is filed under the name Bacillota bacterium. RNAcentral's name for it is "Firmicutes bacterium T-box sequence". It matches the Rfam family "T-box leader". Rfam says of the family: Uncharged tRNA acts as the effector for transcription antitermination of genes in the T-box leader family. The record is from RNAcentral. Lineage: Bacteria; Bacillati; Bacillota.